This 798-nucleotide ribosomal RNA is filed under the name Triticum aestivum (bread wheat). RNAcentral describes it as "partial small subunit ribosomal RNA". Lineage: Eukaryota; Viridiplantae; Streptophyta; Magnoliopsida; Poales; Poaceae. The record is from RNAcentral.
AUGAACACAUGUGAUAUCUGUGGAUCAGCAGUGGAAAAUGAACAUCAUGCAGUCAUUUCGUGUACAAAAAGCAGAGCUCUUCGGCAUGAGAUGCGAGCACACUGGAAGCUGCCGAAGGAGAGGGCUUUCUAGUACACUGGCAAAGAUUGGAUUCAGAACUUGCUUUGUGCCUGCAAUGAGGACUUGCGCUGUAAAAUCCUGCUACUGCUGUGGAGAUCAUGGUUCCUUCGGGAUAAUAUUGUGCAUGGGAAUGGCACCGAAGCCAUCUCGAGAUCAGUGGGAUUCCUAAUCAAGUAUGAGCAGGAAAUUAAAGCUGCAUACGACAAGUCCAACACAGUCGACAACAUCUGCUGUCAAAGCCUUUUUGAGGGACAGAACCAAUCAGUGCCGGGCCCAACUGGUCAUAAAUGGAUCCCGCCGCCGGCCGGAGUGGCGAAACUGAACACUGACGCGGGCUUUGAUACGACCUUAGGAAUGAGUACCGCAGGUGCCAUUGCCAGAAAUGACAAGGGGCUGGUUUUUCUGUCGAUGGGACGCAAGCUGGGACUGUGUGAGUCAGUAGAAGAAGCAGAAAGCCUGGCGCUACUGCAUGGUGUACAGGAAUUGGCCAGAUACUAUAAUGGAGCGGUCCAGGUUGAGAUAGACAACAAAACGCUGAACACACUGCUGGCCCCGGGAUCCACAAACACAUCCCGCCUGUUCCCAAUCAUUGUCGACAUCAGUGCGCUUUUGAAAACUUCAAUUCAUACACUGUCAAAUGGAUCAAAAGGGAACAAAACAGGAUGGCGGAUUGCCUAG